AGCCCCGGCCGAUGUUACCCGGCGUCUUUGGAUUUGCAAUCCAAUAUGUAAUACACCACAAGGCU
Molecule: transfer RNA, 65 nt
Filed under: Pseudopimelodus charus
Lineage: Eukaryota; Metazoa; Chordata; Actinopteri; Siluriformes; Pseudopimelodidae
Description: tRNA-Cys
Source: RNAcentral